AUGUUAGCGGCGGACGGGUGAGUAACACGUGGGUAACCUGCCUGUAAGACUGGGAUAACUCCGGGAAACCGGAGCUAAUACCGGAUAGUUCCUUGAACCGCAUGGUUCAAGGAUGAAAGACGGUUUCGGCUGUCACUUACAGAUGGACCCGCGGCGCAUUAGCUAGUUGGUGAGGUAACGGCUCACCAAGGCGACGAUGCGUAGCCGACCUGAGAGGGUGAUCGGCCACACUGGGACUGAGACACGGCCCAGACUCCUACGGGAGGCAGCAGUAGGGAAUCUUCCGCAAUGGACGAAAGUCUGACGGAGCAACGCCGCGUGAGUGAUGAAGGUUUUCGGAUCGUAAAGCUCUGUUGUUAGGGAAGAACAAGUGCAAGAGUAACUGCUUGCACCUUGACGGUACCUAACCAGAAAGCCACGGCUAACUACGUGCCAGCAGCCGCGGUAAUACGUAGGUGGCAAGCGUUGUCCGGAAUUAUUGGGCGUAAAGGGCUCGCAGGCGGUUUCUUAAGUCUGAUGUGAAAGCCCCCGGCUCAACCGGGGAGGGUCAUUGGAAACUGGGAAACUUGAGUGCAGAAGAGGAGAGUGGAAUUCCACGUGUAGCGGUGAAAUGCGUAGAGAUGUGGAGGAACACCAGUGGCGAAGGCGACUCUCUGGUCUGUAACUGACGCUGAGGAGCGAAAGCGUGGGGAGCGAACAGGAUUAGAUACCCUGGUAGUCCACGCCGUAAACGAUGAGUGCUAAGUGUUA
This 750-nucleotide ribosomal RNA is filed under the name Bacillus altitudinis. RNAcentral describes it as "bacterial SSU rRNA". It matches the Rfam family "Bacterial small subunit ribosomal RNA", at positions 89 to 825 of the family's 1533-position model. The record is from RNAcentral. Lineage: Bacteria; Bacillati; Bacillota; Bacilli; Caryophanales; Bacillaceae.